UACGUAGGUGGCGAGCGUUAUCCGGAUUUAUUGGGCGUAAAGGGAACGCAGGCGGUCUUUUAAGUCUGAUGUGAAAGCCUUCGGCUUAACCGGAGUAGUGCAUUGGAAACUGGGAGACUUGAGUGCAGAAGAGGAGAGUGGAACUCCAUGUGUAGCGGUGAAAUGCGUAGAUAUAUGGAAGAACACCAGUGGCGAAAGCGGCUCUCUGGUCUGUAACUGACGCUGAGGUUCGAAAGCGUGGGUAGCAAACAGU
RNAcentral lists this ribosomal RNA (253 nucleotides) under uncultured bacterium. RNAcentral's name for it is "partial 16S ribosomal RNA". It matches the Rfam family "Bacterial small subunit ribosomal RNA", at positions 524 to 776 of the family's 1533-position model. The record is from RNAcentral.